RNAcentral lists this ribosomal RNA (1128 nucleotides) under human gut metagenome. Its description in RNAcentral is "bacterial LSU rRNA". It matches the Rfam family "Bacterial large subunit ribosomal RNA", at positions 1640 to 2760 of the family's 2925-position model. The record is from RNAcentral.
GACCGUACCGCAAACCGACACUGGUGGGCGAGCUGAAUAUGCUCAGGCGCUUGAGAGAACUCAGGAGAAGGAACUCGGCAAAUUGACACCGUAACUUCGGGAUAAGGUGUGCCUUUGUAGCGUGGAGGGAGAAACACCCCGAGCGCGAAGAGGUCUCAGAUAAUCGGUGGCUGCGACUGUUUAUUAAAAACACAGCACUCUGCAAAGACGAAAGUCGACGUAUAGGGUGUGAUGCCUGCCCGGUGCUGGAAGAUUAAUUGAUGGGGUGCAAGCUCCUGAUCGAAGUCCCAGUAAACGGCGGCCGUAACUAUAACGGUCCUAAGGUAGCGAAAUUCCUUGUCGGGCAAGUUCCGACCUGCACGAAUGGCAUAACGAUGGCCACACUGUCUCCUCCUGAGACUCAGUGAAGUUGAAGUGUUUGUGAUGAUGCAAUCUCCCCGCGGCUAGACGGAAAGACCCCAUGAACCUUUACUGUAGCUUUGCAUUGGACUUUGAACCGAUCUGUGUAGGAUAGGCGGGAGCCUGUGAAACCACAACGCCAGUUGUGGCGGAGGCGUCCUUGAAAUACCGCCCUGAUUUGUUUGAGGUUCUAACCUGGGACAGUUAUCCUGUCCGGGGACCGUGCAUGGUAGGCAGUUUGACUGGGGCGGUCUCCUCCUAAAGGGUAACGGAGGAGUGCGAAGGUACGCUAGGUACGGUCGGAAAUCGUGCUGAUAGUGCAAUGGCAAAAGCGUGCUUGACUGCGAGACCCACAAGUCGAGCAGAUACGAAAGUAGGUCAUAGUGAUCCGGUGGCUCUGUAUGGAAGGGCCAUCGCUCAACGGAUAAAAGGUACUCUGGGGAUAACAGGCUGAUACCGCCCAAGAGUUCAUAUCGACGGCGGUGUUUGGCACCUCGAUGUCGGCUCAUCUCAUCCUGGGGCUGUAGCCGGUCCCAAGGGUAUGGCUGUUCGCCAUUUAAAGAGGUACGUGAGCUGGGUUUAAAACGUCGUGAGACAGUUUUGUCCCUAUCUGCCGUGGGCGCUGGAAGAUUGACGGGGGCUGCUCCUAGUACGAGAGGACCGGAGUGGACUCACCUCUGGUGUACCGGUUGUCACGCCAGUGGCAUCGCCGGGUAGCUAUGUGGGGAA